CCUACGGGAGGCAGCAGUGAGGAAUAUUGGUCAAUGGACGCGAGCCUGAACCAGCCAAGUAGCGUGAAGGAUGACUGCCCUACGGGUUGUAAACUUCUUUUAUAAGGGAAUAAAGUGAUGCACGUGUGCCUUUUUGUAUGUACUUUAUGAAUAAGGAUCGGCUAACUCCGUGCCAGCAGCCGCGGUAAUACGGAGGAUCCGAGCGUUAUCCGGAUUUAUUGGGUUUAAAGGGAGCGUAGAUGGGUUGUUAAGUCAGUGGGGAAAGUAUGAGGCUCAACCGUGAAAUUGCAAUUGAUACUGGUAGUCUAGAGAGUAGGUGAGGUAGGCGGAAUGCGUGGUGUAGCGGUGAAAUGCUUAGAUAUCAUGCAGAACACCGAUUGCGAAGGCAGCUUACUAAGCUGCCACUGACGUUGAGGCACGAAAGCGUGGGUAUCAAACAGGAUUAGAUACCCCAGUAGUC
This 460-nucleotide ribosomal RNA is filed under the name uncultured bacterium. RNAcentral's name for it is "partial 16S ribosomal RNA". It matches the Rfam family "Bacterial small subunit ribosomal RNA", at positions 338 to 795 of the family's 1533-position model. The record is from RNAcentral.